RNAcentral lists this ribosomal RNA (476 nucleotides) under uncultured bacterium. RNAcentral's name for it is "bacterial SSU rRNA". It matches the Rfam family "Bacterial small subunit ribosomal RNA", at positions 28 to 521 of the family's 1533-position model. The record is from RNAcentral.
GACGAACGCUGGCGGCGUGCUUAACACAUGCAAGUCGAGCGGUAAGGCCCUUUCGGGGGUACACGAGCGGCGAACGGGUGAGUAACACGUGGGUGACCUGCCCUCAGCUCUGGGAUAAGCCUGGGAAACCGGGUCUAAUACUGGAUAUGACUCCAUGACGCAUGUUGUGGGGUGGAAAGCCUUGUGCGGCUGAGGAUGGGCCCGCGGCCUAUCAGCUUGUUGGUGGGGUGANGGCCUACCAAGGCGACGACGGGUAGCCGGCCUGAGAGGGCGACCGGCCACACUGGGACUGAGACACGGCCCAGACUCCUACGGGAGGCAGCAGUGGGGAAUCUUGCACAAUGGGGGCAACCCUGAUGCAGCGACGCCGCGUGGGCGAUGAAGGUCUUCGGAUCGUAAAGCCCUUUUCUGCGUGACGAGGAGNGGACGGUAGCGCAGGAAGAAGCGUCGGCUAACUACGUGCCAGCCGCCGCUGU